UACGGGGGGAGCAAGCGUUGUUCGGAUUUACUGGGCGUAAAGGGCGCGUAGGCGGCCAGCACAAGUCAGUUGUGAAAUCUCCGAGCUUAACUCGGAAAGGUCAACUGAUACUGUGCGGCUAGAGUGCAGAAGGGGCAACUGGAAUUCUCGGUGUAGCGGUGAAAUGCGUAGAGAUCGGCAGGAACACCCAGGGGGAAACCAGUCGACUGGGCAUCUACUGACGCUGAGGUGCGAGAGCGUGGGGAGCGAACCGG
RNAcentral lists this ribosomal RNA (254 nucleotides) under uncultured bacterium. RNAcentral's name for it is "partial 16S ribosomal RNA". It matches the Rfam family "Bacterial small subunit ribosomal RNA", at positions 524 to 776 of the family's 1533-position model. The record is from RNAcentral.